AACCUGGUUGAUCCUGCCAGUAGUCAUAUGCUUGUCUCAAAGACUAAGCCAUGCAUGUCUAAGUAUAAGUGUUAUACAGCGAAACUGCGAAUGGCUCAUUAAAACAGUUAUAGUUUAUUUGAUAAUCGAAUUUACAUGGAUAACCGUGGUAAUUCUAGAGCUAAUACAUGCUGCAAUGCCCGACUUUGCGGAAGGGCGGUAUUUAUUAGAUAACAAGCCAAUAUUCCUUGUGUCUAUUGUGGUGACUCAUAAUAACUGAUCGAAUCGCAAGGCCUACGGCCGCGAUAAGUCAUUCAAGUUUCUGCCCCAUCAGCUUUCGAUGGUAGUGUAUUGGACUACCAUGGCGUUUACGGGUAACGGAGGAUUAGGGUUCGAUUCCGGAGAGGGAGCCUGAGAAACGGCUACCACAUCUAAGGAAGGCAGCAGGCGCGUAAAUUACCCAAUCCUGACUCAGGGAGGUAGUGACAAGAAAUAACGGACCGUUAGCCUUCGGGCGGCGGGACUGCAAUGAGCCGAAUUUACACCCCUUAGCGAGGACCAAUUGGAGGGCAAGUCUGGUGCCAGCAGCCGCGGUAAUUCCAGCUCCAAUAGC
Molecule: ribosomal RNA, 592 nt
Filed under: uncultured marine eukaryote
Lineage: Eukaryota
Description: SSU rRNA
Rfam family: Eukaryotic small subunit ribosomal RNA
Source: RNAcentral